This 537-nucleotide ribosomal RNA is filed under the name uncultured bacterium. RNAcentral's name for it is "bacterial SSU rRNA". It matches the Rfam family "Bacterial small subunit ribosomal RNA", at positions 8 to 526 of the family's 1533-position model. The record is from RNAcentral.
AGAGUUUGAUCCUGGCUCAGAAUCAACGCUGGCGGCGUGCCUAACACAUGCAAGUCGAACGCGAAAGGGGCUUCGGCCCUGAGUAGAGUGGCGAACGGGUGAGUAACACGUGGGUGACCUACCUUCGAAUGGGGGAUAACGUCCCGAAAGGGACGCUAAUACCGCAUAACAUCCUGCCUUUGAACAGGUGGAGAUCAAAGCCGGGGAUCGCAAGACCUGGCGCUUGAUGAGGGGCCCGCGUCUGAUUAGCUAGUUGGUGGGGUAAUGGCUCACCAAGGCGACGAUCAGUAUCCGGCCUGAGAGGGCGGACGGACACACUGGGACUGAGACACGGCCCAGACUCCUACGGGAGGCAGCAGUGGGGAAUUGUUCGCAAUGGGCGCAAGCCUGACGACGCAACGCCGCGUGGAGGAUGAAGGUCUUCGGAUUGUAAACUCUUGUUGCUCGGGACGAAAAGCUUCGACCUAACACGUCGAGGUCUGACGGUACCGAGUGAGGAAGCCCCGGCUAACUCUGUGCCAGCCGCCGCGGUAAUAC